GAACGCUGGCGGCAGGCCUAACACAUGCAAGUCGAGCGCCCUUUCGGGGGAGCGGCGGACGGGUGAGUAACGCGUGGGAAUAUGCCCUUCUCUACGGAAUAGCCUCGGGAAACUGAGAGUAAUACCGUAUACGCCCUGUGGGGGAAAGAUUUAUCGGGGAAGGAUUAGCCCGCGUUGGAUUAGGUAGUUGGUGGGGUAAUGGCCUACCAAGCCGACGAUCCAUAGCUGGUUUGAGAGGAUGAUCAGCCACACUGGGACUGAGACACGGCCCAGACUCCUACGGGAGGCAGCAGUGGGGAAUCUUAGACAAUGGGGGCAACCCUGAUCUAGCCAUGCCGCGUGAGUGAUGAAGGCCUUAGGGUUGUAAAGCUCUUUC
RNAcentral lists this ribosomal RNA (376 nucleotides) under Paracoccus marinus. RNAcentral's name for it is "bacterial SSU rRNA". It matches the Rfam family "Bacterial small subunit ribosomal RNA", at positions 31 to 437 of the family's 1533-position model. The record is from RNAcentral. Lineage: Bacteria; Pseudomonadati; Pseudomonadota; Alphaproteobacteria; Rhodobacterales; Paracoccaceae.